RNAcentral lists this ribosomal RNA (253 nucleotides) under uncultured bacterium. RNAcentral describes it as "partial 16S ribosomal RNA". It matches the Rfam family "Bacterial small subunit ribosomal RNA", at positions 524 to 776 of the family's 1533-position model. The record is from RNAcentral.
UACGGAGGGGGUUAGCGUUGUUCGGAAUUACUGGGCGUAAAGCGUACGUAGGCGGAUUAGUAAGUUGGGGGUGAAAUCCCGGGGCUCAACCUCGGAACUGCCUUCGAUACUGGCGAUCUUGAGUCCGGGAGAGGUGAGUGGAACUCCGAGUGUAGAGGUGAAAUUCGUAGAUAUUCGGAAGAACACCAGUGGCGAAGGCGGCUCACUGGCCCGGUACUGACGCUGAUAUGCGAAAGCGUGGGGAGCAAACAGG